UGUGAAGUGAAACCAAGCAAGAAUUGAGGGAGGUGGGAAUGGGAGAUUGGAGCUAGCAGAAGUUGUAGGAGUGGGUUGGUUGGGAAGAAAUCAAAACCUUAUAAUAUGUAUAUGUUAUGGUUUUUAUUUUUUCCCAAUUCCACCCAUUCCUAUUAUUUCUAUUGGUUCCUCCCUUUCCUUUCUUCUCUACAUCACAUCUCUGACUACAGCUAACUUCACCACUUUAAUAGAAGAAUUUUGGUACAUAUAUAGCUGGCUUCCUCAUCAAGUUUGAUGUGCACUACUGCCUUAAAAUUAUGAACUAAAAUCUUCACUAUACGGACCUAGAUAGCUGAAACAGAUCUUGACCUACACGGAAUAAUAUAUUUAGAAUUUUAGAUUUAAAAAAAAA
This is a non-coding RNA of Arachis ipaensis, 391 nucleotides long. The record is from RefSeq and is a predicted model, not a curated record. NCBI's taxonomy places the organism in Eukaryota, Viridiplantae, Streptophyta, Magnoliopsida, Fabales, Fabaceae.